AUACCCAAAAGGUCGAAAUGUAGAGAGAGGACUGGGACUGAGUUUGCUCUUUAAUUUAUGUGGUCUUUAUGAUGUUGUUGACAAUACACUGGAGUCGGAAAAUUAGUAUAAAAUGUAUCAAUUCCGAAGACCAUUAUAUCUGUCCCGAAGACCUAUUUGCGAGUAUUUUAACGGUUGUAUUCACGAUUUGUGGCGAUAUUUCAUGGCCGGCUUAUGAUCAUUUGGGUGUUUAUCAUGUGGGAACAUUGUUAUUGCAUUGCUUCUAAAGCAAUUAUGAAGGUGGGCUCUCAUCUUGUUUUGGUGAAAUCUUACUGAUACUGGAUCUAUUCCACUGGCAACUGCUACACAGUUUGCAAUAGCAAAAAGACCACAAUCAUUGAAAUUUCUUUGCAAUUGAGCACGAACAAGUUUCACAAUAGGAGGGGGUGAACUUUGUGAAAGAUGUGGAUAUACAGUCUUUAACUGUUGUACAAGAGUUGUUGAAAAGUUGAGAUAAAGGGAAUCAUAGACUGUCAAUGUACCAUUCAUGAAUGCAGACAUCACCCAGUGCUUGAUAUUCAAGUUGUGUAUUUGUAUUCCAUCCCUUUUAAUUUGAUUUCUGACUUUACCACAAGAAACAAGCAAAGUGUCUAUGAAUCCUUCAAGGUGAGGGAACUGGGAUUUCAUAAUAAAUUGACAAGCAUAUAUGUGGUUAUCUGAGAGCCAGCCAUUUGGUGUCAAUAGAACAUUCUCGUCAAAGACUGUGAGAUGCAACUUAGCAAUCCAUGUUUUGGGUUGAUCAUUGGUGCUGCUGUUAUCAAUCUUUGGAUUUGGUUUGUCAUUUGUUUCAAGUGCAAGACCAUUGCAAUCAGAUGGCAGUGAUUGCUUAACAUCAUCCCAGACUUUACAUAAUGAUUCCUCUAAAUUCUGGAUUGACAAAGUGUCUUUUAACAAGUAUGUUGCACUUGUCAACUGCUUGAGGAUCUCUCUGCAUUUUUUUUUAUGCUGUGUCAUCUUGAAAACACGACGUUGAGCCAGUUCAUAGUUGUUCGGUGACCCAGUCUUAGGAAAGCACAAAUCAUCAAGGCAAAAUAAAGGGUUGUUCUUAUACAGUGAUGAAAGGGAGUCCCAUUUCCAUUGUGUAUGUUGGAAUACUGCACAGAAAUGUUUACAUGCUGUGUUAUGUUGUGUGGUCCUAUGGCUCCUUCCCAACGCUUGAUAAUGUGGUUUACCAUAUCUCUUGGCCGGUUGUUCAAAAAAGGUAGUCAUACUUAAAGGCUUCAUUUUGGCGUUCAAUUCCAUUGUUUGUAUGAACAGCAGUUAUUAAAUCAUCUCCACGGAAAGCUUGAGCCCAUUUCUAGAUAAUGGAAAACAUAACUCUUUGAUAAAAAAGGCAGUAGAGUUAAACAUUACCUGUGGUCAAGAAACAAUCUCAAAUCAAUGUUAUGAUGAUAUUUCACAAAGAAAACCAUGCAACACAGAUGAAUGUUGAAAAACCUGUGUUAUCAAACAUGCUUUCUCAACAAGCAAAAAAGUUAUUAACCCAUGUACUGUAUGUGGAUGUUAUUGAAUUAUUUGUACACAUUUAUGAAAAAGAUCUAAGCAAAACAACUAAGUAAGCCUUACUUUCACAUCAGGAUAUUUAACUAUAUGCUGCACAUGGAUGGUUGCCGGACAGUCUAAUUUUUUGCUUUCCUGGACUAAAAAUUUGUUUUGUCGGAAACAGUGAUCUUGCAUCUACAUGAAAUAUACAAAAUAUAUAUGUAUCAGAGAUGCUUCAUAAACAAAUUAACAUGAAAGAAAUUUGUUAAUCCUUUUUAAGUGCAAACCAGUGAUUGUUAAAAGUUGUUCUAUUAGGACAAUUUGCAGCACUGAGUGGGCAGAGCCCCAAUUAGCCUAGGGAUGUAUAGGCAAAGGGGGUGGGCCCCUGCCCUAAAAUUGGCCCUAUUAAGAAUUGCCUGAUUAAAAGUGCCUGUUAUCAGUGCCCUGAUAUCAGCUUUAAUAUCACUGGAAACAAAAUAUGUAGAUGUAAGAUUUUAGAUUUUCUACCUUUUCUUUCUCUUUUCUUGCCUUGUACUUUUCUUUUGCCCUUUUAUUUUUAUCUCUUCCUUGGUGACAGACUAACACCUUUUCU
Molecule: long non-coding RNA, 2113 nt
Organism: Dendronephthya gigantea
Lineage: Eukaryota; Metazoa; Cnidaria; Anthozoa; Malacalcyonacea; Nephtheidae
Exons: 7
Source: RefSeq, a predicted model, not a curated record